AGAAAGUGAUGAAAGUCUUCCAAGUGACAACAGAAUACUCCGUUGAGGUAGAGUCCUGAGGGUCUUCUCCAUCUUCAUUGGACAACCGC
Long non-coding RNA from Sinocyclocheilus rhinocerous, 89 nucleotides. RefSeq lists it as uncharacterized. NCBI's taxonomy places the organism in Eukaryota, Metazoa, Chordata, Actinopteri, Cypriniformes, Cyprinidae. The transcript is spliced from 3 exons. The record is from RefSeq and is a predicted model, not a curated record.